UCCCGCCCCGCCUUCCUCCCUGGUCUACUGGGGUUCCUUCCUUCUCGGUGUAACUAGGUCAGCGCAAGGUGAUCCUGAGGAGAUAGGCGGCGCUCGGGGGGCGCCCUCGUUCCUCUUAUCGCGCCUUUGUCCCUCCCUCCGUUCCUUGCCCCGCACCCUCACUUUCGCCGCCCUGUGCGUUGCCUGUCCCGGAACUGGUUCCCUCAAGCCGCCCUCACCUGUUCUGACUUCCCCUCGAGGCACAAUAGCCUGAGAGAUCAGACGUGGGAGAUUAGAUUGCUCGGCGUCAGACCUACUUCUAGGCAACCCCCCCUAGACUGGAGCUGCUCGUCGUGGACAUUAGGAUCUAGUUGGGCAUGAGCCCUUAACUUAAGGGUCGGGGGGGAAGUGGCGGGUGCGGAGAGGAGGCGUGGAGAGUGUGAGGAAGAAGAGAGGCACUCUGAGAAGAAGUCGAACAACUAACCCCUCAUUUGGCCUGGUUUGGGUGAGAAGAUUGAGUCACUUGGGGAAAAAAAUAUUGGAGAAGUCAGAGAAGGUGUAAAUCAGUGGUGCCACAAACACCAGUUUACUUCCACUUUUCACCCCCCGGGUCUGUUUUGUCUGCGUGCAGCUCUCCUCGUGUCGGAGACGCUGAGUCAGUUCUCUACUGGUCUUGCCCUCUUCCGGAAAAAGAAAACACACCUGAGAAGUGGUAGUUCCUAUCCUAACCUACUGGGGCCCUUUAUACCAGGUGCCAAACUUCAUUAUCCACCCCACCACCUUGCCCGGGAGGGAGAUCUGUGAAAGCGAAACGUGAUUUAAGCUGGGAUCUGGCAGCAACUUCGUGGACUCUGAAGGGCACGUGGGAAAGGAGUUUUGAUUGAAGAGUAAUUUUAUGCUGAUUGAAGAAAAGAAGUAAACAGAGUUCCAGAAAGCAACUGCAAAUACUCAUUUUGAAAAAGAAAACAAAACAAAAACAAGGGAGACAUUUUAAAAGGUGCUAAAGCAACAGGACCAGUUGCCAGAGAGCUUAUUUUACCUCCCCAAAACAAGAUUGGUGUUUCAUCCUUGAGUUUAGUACACAGGAUUGUUCUUAUUCUUCUGCAGAUAGAGAGGUGCACUGCUUUAUGCUGCAAGUUGUCUAUAAGACAAGUUUUGUGAGUAUCAAAUAUUUGUAAGCAAAUCAAAUUUCUCCCCCAGUUGAAAUGAUUAUUUCAGAAGAAUUUCUUCUUUGUUUUGAAUUGGACUUCUGAGUUGGACUUCUCAGCAUGAUAAAGAAGAAAGAGCAUUAGAAUAAGAAAGAAGAUUAAGCUUCUUGUUUUGAUUAUGCCCAUAAUCAGCUGUGGGACCCCGGGCUAAUGCACUCCAAAAUCCCACUGUUCUGUGACCUUGCUAUGUGGGGCAUCAGCCUCCUCAUCUCUAAUAUUUUGGAUUUAAGUUAGUUGAUUUUUAUGGUCCCGCAAUGGAAUUCUUUAAACAACUCCACUAAUCCAUGAUACUGUUGCUUUAAAAAUCUUGGUUUUAGCUUUCCUCUAAGGAAUUUAUAGUGACAAUUAUCUACUUUUUUUUUCUUAAAUAAAAAUAGAGGUGGGGUUUUGCCAUGUUGCCCAGGCUGGUCUCAAACUCUUGGGCUCAAGUGAUCUGCCCACCUUGGCCUCCUAAAGUGCUGGGAUGACAGGUGUGAGCCACUGUACCCGGCCAGACCAUAUGUCUCUAGCAUUUUGAUAACAUUCUCUACAAUCUGGGCCCUGUAUAACUCCCCAGUCUUCAGACUACUACUCUCUAUGCUCACAUCUUUGGCGAUUUUAUACUCUUUGCCAAUUUAGAUGCCAUUUGUUUUUUCGUUUCCAGUAGAUUAGUAUGUCCAACCCAGAUUUUGGUAAACCCUAGACUCAUUCUACAGUCUGUGACAUCUCCAUUUGGAUUUCUUAUUGGCAUCUCAGACUCCAUAUGUCUAACCUGGAAUGCCUGAUCUCCAUUGCCUCCUAAACCGGCUUCUCUCACGGCUCUCCCAUCUCGGGGCCCAGCAUCUCAGACCUUUGCCUUGCUUACACCAGACAUUUUGUUGUUAUCUGUACCACCUCCUUCUCGUGCAGUCUACUUGAUGCCACCUAAUUGGUAUCCCUGGCUUCUGCCCUUGUUCUCUUAACGAAUCAUUUUCCAAACAGCAGCCAGAGUGAUCCUUUCAAAAAUGGAUUCAGAAAUCAUGUCACUGCUCUGCCCAAAGUUCCCAAAUGACUUCCCAGUCACUCAGAGCACAAGCUGACGCUCGACACAUCUGGGCCCCGUAAGAUUUUCAUUUCUGCUCCUCCUCCUUUUGCUCACUCUGCCCCUGCCACAUUGGUCUCCUGCUUUCCCGGAACUUGCCCAACAUGUUCCUCCCUCAGGGCCUUCACAUUUGUCAUUUCCUGUCCUAUGAUGCUCUUCCUGCAGAUAUCUACAGCAGCUCCCCGCUGCUCCUUUUGCAGGUUUUUGUUCAGAUGUCAUCUUCCUGGUGAGCUCUUCCCUGAACAACUCCUCACCCCCUCCACCUUGCCCCUGGGACUCCCUUUGACCUUUCUCGGAUUGUUUUCCCUGUAACUCUUGCCACCACCUCAUACAGGGCUUCUCAAGCUUGGCAUGAUUGGCAUUUUGGGACAGUUCUUUGUUGCGGGCUAUUAUCCUGUGCCUUGCAGGAUGUUUAGCAGCAUCACCACCCUCGACCCACUCAAUACCUGCAACUUUCCUCCCUAGGUUGUGACAGCCAGAAAUGUCUCCAGACACUGCCAAAUGUCUCCUGGGGGACAAAACCACCCCUGGUUGAGAAUCUUUGAUAUAAUGUAAAUAUGCAUUUUACCUAUGUAUUUGUUUAUUGUUCCUCCCUUCCCCACCAAUAAAAUAUAAUCUCCAUGAGAACAGGAAUUUUUGUGUCUAUUUUCCACUGAUGUAAUGCAGGCACUCUGAAUAGGGUAUGAUGCAUAGUAGGUGCUCAAACAGAUAUUUCACUGGUGAAUAAAUGAAAUGUGCUCUGACCUUGUUCCUCUGUGCUCAUUAAGCUCUAGCCACACUGACCUUUCUUCCACCUCUCAGACAUCUGAAGCUCCUUCUCACCUUUCAGUCUUUUUCUUUCAGAUCUCACUCCUGGAAAGCUCUAUUCGCAGGUCUCUGUUUACUUGUUACUCAGGUCCAAUAACACCUGCUUAGAGAGGCUUCCCUGAUCACCGUAUCCUACAUGACCCUCCCUGCCAGCCAGAGUCACUGUCUAUAUUGUUACUGUGUUUUAGUUUCUGCAUUACAUUUGUCUUGGAAAUUAUCUUGUUUACGUGGCAGGUGUACAUCUUGCUCCCUUAAAUGAAUGCUCCUUGACCACUCCACAUUAUCUGCUUUGUUUAUUAACGGCAGUAAUCUAAAACAGUAGUCUAAAACAGUGCAAGGCCCAUCGUUGAUGGGCUGAUUAAAUAAGUAUGCCUGUCUUUUAAUCAAUUCAGGGUGGAAGAGAGUCUCUAUAGAAAGGGUUUAAGGGCUGUGUCUGUCAAGGUCCAGUAGCAAAAAAAAAGAAAAAAGAAAAAAAAA
This 3531-nucleotide long non-coding RNA is filed under the name Homo sapiens (human). RNAcentral describes it as "HSALNT0296992". Lineage: Eukaryota; Metazoa; Chordata; Mammalia; Primates; Hominidae. The record is from RNAcentral.